Molecule: ribosomal RNA, 530 nt
Filed under: uncultured bacterium
Lineage: Bacteria
Description: partial 16S ribosomal RNA
Rfam family: Bacterial small subunit ribosomal RNA
Source: RNAcentral
UGGGGAAUAUUGCACAAUGGGCGAAAGCCUGAUGCAGCAACGCCGCGUGAGGGACGACGGCCUUCGGGUUGUAAACCUCUUUUAGCAAGGAAGAAGCGAAAGUGACGGUACUUGCAGAAAAAGCGCCGGCUAACUACGUGCCAGCAGCCGCGGUAAUACGUAGGGCGCAAGCGUUAUCCGGAAUUAUUGGGCGUAAAGAGCUCGUAGGCGGUUUGUCGCGUCUGCUGUGAAAACCCGAGGCUCAACCUCGGGCCUGCAGUGGGUACGGGCAGACUAGAGUGCGGUAGGGGAGAUUGGAACUCCUGGUGUAGCGGUGGAAUGCGCAGAUAUCAGGAAGAACACCGAUGGCGAAGGCAGAUCUCUGGGCCGUAACUGACGCUGAGGAGCGAAAGGGUGGGGAGCAAACAGGCUUAGAUACCCUGGUAGUCCACCCCGUAAACGUUGGGAACUAGUUGUGGGGUCCAUUCCACGGAUUCCGUGACGCGGCUAACGCAUUAAGUUCCCCGCCUGGGGAGUACGGCCGCAAGGCU